UACGUAGGGUGCUAGCGUUGUUCGGAAUCAUUGGGCGUAAAGCGCGUGCAGGCUGUUAAAUAAGUCGGAUGUGAAAUCCCUGGGCUCAACCGAGGAAGUGCAUUCGAAACUAUUUAGCUAGAAGAUGGUAGAGGAAGGUGGAAUUCCAAGUGUAGAGGUGAAAUUCGUAGAUAUUUGGAGGAAUACCGGUGGCGAAGGCGGCCUUCUGGGCCAUUCUUGACGCUGAGACGCGAAAGCGUGGGUAGCAAACAGG
RNAcentral lists this ribosomal RNA (253 nucleotides) under uncultured bacterium. RNAcentral describes it as "partial 16S ribosomal RNA". It matches the Rfam family "Bacterial small subunit ribosomal RNA", at positions 524 to 776 of the family's 1533-position model. The record is from RNAcentral.